This is a long non-coding RNA of Osmerus eperlanus (European smelt), 465 nucleotides long. RefSeq lists it as uncharacterized. The transcript has 3 exons. NCBI's taxonomy places the organism in Eukaryota, Metazoa, Chordata, Actinopteri, Osmeriformes, Osmeridae. The record is from RefSeq and is a predicted model, not a curated record.
UUCACAUUUGUUAUAUGCGCCGUUUUCAAGGUUAACUUUUAAUGAGUUAAUCGGCAAAGGAAGACCUACACAAUAACUUAAAUUUGUGCAGAAAACCAAAGGUUUUGAGAGGAAUUUCAAUUCCAGCAAUUAUAUGCGGUACCGGUGGAUGACAGGAUCAACCAAAGAGCAAAAGCUUUACUGUUGGGAAUUGGGAUUGUUUGCUGUUUGGCGCGGAGAGUGGGACCUGGGCCAAAGAUGGAUUUUCUGAUUUAGGAAGUUUAUCCAAUUUCAAGUAAAGAUCAUCAAAGGCUGAAGUAUAGGAUGAAGACCACAACCACAAGACAUAGAGUGAGCUCCCAGCGGGAGCUGUCAUAAAAAAGAUAAAUUCAAUAUAUGUAAAAGCUCAUGAUGACAUCGGGAAGGCUAUAUAUCUCAAGCUAAAUUGUUUUCCCUGGCCGGGGGGUCCGGAGCGAGGGGUGUUUU